UACGGGGGGGGCAAGCGUUGUUCGGAAUUACUGGGCGUAAAGGGCUCGUAGGUGGCCAACUAAGUCGGACGUGAAAUCCCUCGGCUUAACCGGGGAACUGCGUCCGAUACUGGUUGGCUUGAGUUUGGGAGAGGGAUGCGGAAUUCCAGGUGUAGCGGUGAAAUGCGUAGAUAUCUGAAGGAACAUCAGUGGCGAAAGCGACUUCCUGGACCAAUACUGACGCUCAUGUGCGAAAGCGUGGGGAGCAAACAGG
Molecule: ribosomal RNA, 253 nt
Filed under: uncultured bacterium
Lineage: Bacteria
Description: partial 16S ribosomal RNA
Rfam family: Bacterial small subunit ribosomal RNA
Source: RNAcentral